UUGGAGGGCAAGUCUGGUGCCAGCAGCCGCGGUAAUUCCAGCUCCAAUAGCGUAUAUUAAAGUUGUUGCAGUUAAAAAGCUCGUAGUUGAAUUUCGGGGUUAGUAGGUUGGUCAUGCCUCCGGUAUGUACUGAUCUCACUGAUUCCUCCUUCCUUAUGAACCGUAAUGCCAUUAAUUUGGUGUUGCGGGGAAUUUGGACUGUUACUUUGAAAAAAUUAGAGUGUUUAAAGCAGGCUAACGCUUGAAUACAUUAGCAUGGAAUAAUGAAAUAGGACGUUCGACCUUAUUUUGUUGGUUUCUAGGAUUGACGUAAUGAUUAAUAGGGAUAGUUGGGGGCAUUAGUAUUCAAUUGUCAGAGGUGAAAUUCUUGGAUUUAUUGAAGACUAACUACUGCGAAAGCAUUUGCCAAGGAUGUUUUCAUUAAUCAAGAACGAAAGUUAGGGGAUCGAAGACGAUCAGAUACCGUCGUAGUCUUAACCAUAAACUAUGCCGACUAGGGAUCGGAUGAUGUUAAUUUUUUAAUGACUCAUUCGGCGCCUUACGGGAAAC
This 549-nucleotide ribosomal RNA is filed under the name Glomus sp. VeGlo8. Its description in RNAcentral is "SSU rRNA". It matches the Rfam family "Eukaryotic small subunit ribosomal RNA", at positions 548 to 1098 of the family's 1831-position model. The record is from RNAcentral. Lineage: Eukaryota; Fungi; Glomeromycota; Glomeromycetes; Glomerales; Glomeraceae.